This 98-nucleotide ribosomal RNA is filed under the name Microcebus murinus (gray mouse lemur). The record is from RNAcentral. Lineage: Eukaryota; Metazoa; Chordata; Mammalia; Primates; Cheirogaleidae.
CUCUACGGCCAUUCCACCCUGAACGCCCGAUCUCGUCUGAUCUCGGAAGCUAAGCAGGGUCAGGCCUGGUUAGUACUUGGAUGGGAGAACUGUAUAGC